ACGGAAGGUGCAAGCGUUGCUCGGAAUCACUGGGCGUAAAGGGUGCGUAGGCGGCCGUGUAAGUCUGGCGUGAAAGCCCCGGGCUCAGCCCGGGAAGUGCGCUCGAAACUGCGCGGCUCGAGUGCCGGAGGGGAGAGUGGAAUUCUUGGUGUAGCGGUGAAAUGCGUAGAUAUCAAGAGGAACACCUGAGGUGAAGACGGGUUGCUGGGCCAACACUGACGCUGAGGCGCGAAAGCCCGGGGAGCAAACAGGA
This 253-nucleotide ribosomal RNA is filed under the name uncultured prokaryote. RNAcentral describes it as "partial 16S ribosomal RNA". It matches the Rfam family "Bacterial small subunit ribosomal RNA", at positions 525 to 777 of the family's 1533-position model. The record is from RNAcentral.